UAUCCUGACCGUGCGAAGGUAGCGUAAUCACUUGUCUUUUAAAUGAAGACCUGUAUGAAUGGCAUCACGAAGGUUCAACUGUCUCCUUCCCCCAGUCAAUGAAAUUGAUCUGCCCGUGCAGAAGCGGACAUAAAAACAUAAGACGAGAAGACCCUGUGGAGCUUUAGGCCAAGGAUCAAACAUGUAAAACAGACUCAAACCCUAAAAAGAAUAAUAAAAGUCCAAAAACCAAGAGUAACCUGAUCCUAAUGCCUUCGGUUGGGGCGACCGCGGGGGAAAAUAAAGCCCCCACAUGGAAUGGAACUACUUCCUAAACCAAGAGUUACAACUCUAAGUAACAGAAUUUCUGACCACCUAUGACCCAGGACAAACAUAAACCUGAUCAAUGAACCAAGUUACCCCAGGGAUAACAGCGCAAUCCUUUCCCAGAGUCCAUAUCGACAAGGGUUUACGACCUC
RNAcentral lists this ribosomal RNA (458 nucleotides) under Congriscus megastomus. Its description in RNAcentral is "partial 16S ribosomal RNA". It matches the Rfam family "Bacterial large subunit ribosomal RNA", at positions 1938 to 2527 of the family's 2925-position model. Lineage: Eukaryota; Metazoa; Chordata; Actinopteri; Anguilliformes; Congridae. The record is from RNAcentral.